RNAcentral lists this non-coding RNA (24 nucleotides) under Arabidopsis thaliana (thale cress). The record is from RNAcentral. Lineage: Eukaryota; Viridiplantae; Streptophyta; Magnoliopsida; Brassicales; Brassicaceae.
ACAAAAAGCUAGGGUUUGCUCUGU